AUUGAACGCUGGCGGCAGGCCUAACACAUGCAAGUCGAACGGCAGCACAGAAGAGCUUGCUCUUUGGGUGGCGAGUGGCGGACGGGUGAGUAAUGUCUGGGAAACUGCCCGAUGGAGGGGGAUAACUACUGGAAACGGUAGCUAAUACCGCAUAACGUCGCGAGACCAAAGUGGGGGACCUUCGGGCCUCACACCAUCGGAUGUGCCCAGAUGGGAUUAGCUAGUAGGUGGGGUAAUGGCUCACCUAGGCGACGAUCCCUGGCUGGUCUGAGAGGAUGACCAGCCACACUGGAACUGAGACACGGUCCAGACUCCUACGGGAGGCAGCAGUGGGGAAUAUUGCACAAUGGGCGCAAGCCUGAUGCAGUCAUGCCGCGUGUAUGAAGAAGGCCUUCGGGUUGUAAAGUACUUUCAGCGGGGAGGAAGGCGGUGAGGUUAAUAACCUUGCCGAUUGACGUUACCCGCAGAAGAAGCACCGGCUAACUCCGUGCCAGCAGCCGCGGUAA
RNAcentral lists this ribosomal RNA (506 nucleotides) under uncultured bacterium. Its description in RNAcentral is "partial 16S ribosomal RNA". It matches the Rfam family "Bacterial small subunit ribosomal RNA", at positions 30 to 523 of the family's 1533-position model. The record is from RNAcentral.